GAUGAACGCUGGCGGCGUGCCUAAUACAUGCAAGUCGAGCGAACAGACGAGGAGCUUGCUCCUCUGAAGUUAGCGGCGGACGGGUGAGUAACACGUAGCUAACCUACCUAUAAGACUGAGAUCACUUCGGGAAACCGGAGCCAAUACCGGAUAAUAUAUUGAACCGCAUGGUUCAAUAGUGAAAACGGGAUUUGCUGUCCCUUAUACAUGUACGCGGGCCGCAUUAGCUAGUUGGUAAGGUAACGGCGUACCAAGGCAAGGAUGCGUAGCCGACCGGAGAGGGUGAUCGGCCACACUGGAACUGAGACACGGUCCAGACUCCUACGGGAGGCAGCAGUAGGAAAUCUUCAGCAAUGGGCGAAAGCCUGACGAAGCAACGCCGCGGGAGUGAUGAAGGUCUUCGGUUCGUAAAACUCUGUUAUUAGGGAAGAACAAAUGUGUAAGUAACUAUGCUCGUCUUGACUGUACCUAAGCAGAAAGCCACGGCAAACUACUG
RNAcentral lists this ribosomal RNA (496 nucleotides) under uncultured bacterium. Its description in RNAcentral is "partial 16S ribosomal RNA". It matches the Rfam family "Bacterial small subunit ribosomal RNA", at positions 28 to 506 of the family's 1533-position model. The record is from RNAcentral.